UUAGGGUUAUAUACUGUUAUUGAUUAGAGAGACAUUAGGGUUAUAUACUGUUAUUGAUCAGAGAGACAUUAGGGUUAUAUACUGUUAUUGAUUAGAGAGACAUUAGGGUUAUAUACUGUUAUUGAUUAGAGAGACAUUAGGGUUAUAUACUGUUAUUGAUCAGAGAGACAUUAGGGUUAUAUACUGUUAUUGAUUAGAGAGACAUUAGGGUUAUAUACUGUUAUUGAUUAGAGAGACAUUAGGGUUAUAUACUGUUAUUGGUUAGAGGGACAUUAGGGUUAUAUACUGUUAUUGAUCAGUGGGACAUUAGGGUUAUAUACUGUUAUUGAUCAGAGAGACAUUAGGGUUAUAUACUGUUAUUGAUUAGUGGGACAUUAGGGUUAUAUACUGUUAUUGAUUAGAGAGACAUUAGGGUUAUAUACUGUUAUUGAUUAGUGGGACAUUAGGGUUAUAUACUGUUAUUGAUUAGAGAGACAUUAGGGUUAUAUACUGUUAUUGAUUAGAGAGACAUUAGGGUUAUAUACUGUUAUUGAUCAGAGGUUAGAGAGACAUUAGGGUUAUAUACUGUUAUUGAUCAGAGAGACAUUAGGGUUAUAUACUGUUAUUGAUUAGAGGGACAUUAGGGUUAUAUACUGUUAUUGAUUAGUGGGACAUUAGGGUUAUAUACUGUUAUUGAUUAGAGGGACAUUAGGGUUAUAUACUGUUAUUGAUUAGAGGUUAGAGAGACAUUAGGGUUAUAUACUAUUAUUGAUCAGAGAGACAUUAGGGUUAUAUACUGUUAUUGAUUAGAGGGACAUUAGGGUUAUAUACUGUUAUUGAUUAGAGGGACAUUAGGGUUAUAUACUGUUAUUGAUUAGAGAGACAUUAGGGUUAUAUACUGUUAUUGAUCAGAGAGACAUUAGGGUUAUAUACUGUUAUUGAUCAGAGAGACAUUAGGGUUAUAUACUGUUAUUGAUUAGAGGUUAGAGAGACAUUAGGGUUAUAUACUGUUAUUGAUCAGUGGGACAUUAGGGUUAUAUACUGUUAUUGAUUAGAGAGACAUUAGGGUUAUAUACUGUUAUUGAUCAGUGGUUAGAGGGACAUUAGGGUUAUAUACUGUUAUUGAUCAGAGAGACAUUAGGGUUAUAUACUGUUAUUGAUUAGAGAGACAUUAGGGUUAUAUACUGUUAUUGAUCAGUGGGACAUUAGGGUUAUAUACUGUUAUUGAUCAGUGGGACAUUAGGGUUAUAUACUGUUAUUGAUUAGAGAGACAUUAGGGUUAUAUACUGUUAUUGAUCAGUGGGACAUUAGGGUUAUAUACUGUUAUUGAUCAGAGAGACAUUAGGGUUAUAUACUGUUAUUGAUUAGAGAGACAUUAGGGUUAUAUACUGUUAUUGAUCAGAGGGACAUUAGGGUUAUAUACUGUUAUUGAUUAGAGAGACAUUAGGGUUAUAUACUGUUAUUGAUUAGAGAGACAUUAGGGUUAUAUACUGUUAUUGAUUAGAG
Molecule: long non-coding RNA, 1485 nt
Filed under: Salmo salar (Atlantic salmon)
Lineage: Eukaryota; Metazoa; Chordata; Actinopteri; Salmoniformes; Salmonidae
Description: lncRNA (ENSSSAG00000109514.1)
Source: RNAcentral